GAUGAACGCUGGCGGCGUGCUUAACACAUGCAAGUCGAACGGAAAGGCCCUGCUUUGGUGGGGUGCUCGAGUGGCGAACGGGUGAGUAACACGUGGGUAACCUGCCCUGGACUUUGGGAUAACUUCAGGAAACUGGGGCUAAUACCGGAUAGGAGCUCCUGCUGGAUGGUGGGGGGGGGAAAGUUUCGGCGGUUGGGGAGGGACUCGCGGCUUAUCAGGUUGGUGGUGGGGUAGUGGCUUACCAAGGCGUUGACGGGCAGCCGGCCGGAGGGGGUGACCGGCACCAUUGGGACUGAGAUACGGCCCAGACUCUUCCGGGAGGAAGCAGUGGGGAAUAUUGCACAAUGGGCGGAAGCUGGAUGCAGCACCGCCGCGUGCGGGAUGACGGCCUUCGGGUUGUAACCCGUUUCCGCCUGUGACGAAGCGUGAGUGACGGUAAUGGGUAAAGAAGCACCGGCUAACUACGUG
RNAcentral lists this ribosomal RNA (468 nucleotides) under uncultured bacterium. RNAcentral describes it as "partial 16S ribosomal RNA". It matches the Rfam family "Bacterial small subunit ribosomal RNA", at positions 28 to 507 of the family's 1533-position model. The record is from RNAcentral.